GAUGAACGCUGGCGGCGUGCUUAACACAUGCAAGUCGAACGAUGAAGCCCAGCUUGCUGGGUGGAUUAGUGGCGAACGGGUGAGUAACACGUGAGUAACCUGCCCUUGACUCUGGGAUAAGCCUGGGAAACUGGGUCUAAUACUAGAUAUGACUUCUCAUCGCAUGGUGGGGGGUGGAAAGAUUUAUUGGUCUUGGAUGGACUCGCGGCCUAUCAGCUUGUUGGUGAGGUAAUGGCUCACCAAGGCGACGACGGGUAGCCGGCCUGAGAGGGUGACCGGCCACACUGGGACUGAGACACGGCCCAGACUCCUACGGGAGGCAGCAGUGGGGAAUAUUGCACAAUGGGCGCAAGCCUGAUGCAGCGACGCCGCGUGAGGGAUGACGGCCUUCGGGUUGUAAACCUCUUUCAGUAGGGAAGAAGCGAGAGUGACGGUACCUGCAGAAGAAGCGCCGGCUAACUACGUG
RNAcentral lists this ribosomal RNA (466 nucleotides) under uncultured bacterium. Its description in RNAcentral is "partial 16S ribosomal RNA". It matches the Rfam family "Bacterial small subunit ribosomal RNA", at positions 28 to 507 of the family's 1533-position model. The record is from RNAcentral.